AGAGUUUGAUCCUGGCUCAGAUUGAACGCUGGCGGCAGGCCUAACACAUGCAAGUCGAACGGUAACAGAAAGCAGCUUGCUGCUUUGCUGACGAGUGGCGGACGGGUGAGUAAUGUCUGGGAAACUGCCUGAUGGAGGGGGAUAACUACUGAAAACGGUAGCUAAUACCGCAUAACGUCGCAAGACCAAAGAGGGGGACCUUCGGGCCUCUUGCCAUCGGAUGUGCCCAGAUGGGAUUAGCUUGUUGGUGGGGUAACGGCUCACCAAGGCGACGAUCCCUAGCUGGUCUGAGAGGAUGACCAGCCACACUGGAACUGAGACACGGUCCAGACUCCUACGGGAGGCAGCAGUGGGGAAUAUUGCACAAUGGGCGCAAGCCUGAUGCAGCCAUGCCGCGUGUAUGAAGAAGGCCUUCGGGUUGUAAAGUACUUUCAGCGGGGAGGAAGGGAGUAAAGUUAAUACCUUUGCUCAUUGACGUUACCCGCAGAAGAAGCACCGGCUAACUCCGUGCCAGCAGCCGCGGUAAUACGGAGGGUGCAAGCGUUAAUCGGAAUUACUGGGCGUAAAGCGCACGCAGGCGGUUUGUUAAGUCAGAUGUGAAAUCCCCGGGCUCAACCUGGGAACUGCAUCUGAUACUGGCAAGCUUGAGUCUCGUAGAGGGGGGUAGAAUUCCAGGUGUAGCGGUGAAAUGCGUAGAGAUCUGGAGGAAUACCGGUGGCGAAGGCGGCCCCCUGGACGAAGACUGACGCUCAGGUGCGAAAGCGUGGGGAGCAAACAGGAUUAGAUACCCUGGUAGUCCACGCCGUAAACGAUGUCGACUUGGAGGUUGUGCCCUUGAGGCGUGGCUUCCGGAGCUAACGCGUUAAGUCGACCGCCUGGGGAGUACGGCCGCAAGGUUAAAACUCAAAUGAAUUGACGGGGGCCCGCACAAGCGGUGGAGCAUGUGGUUUAAUUCGAUGCAACGCGAAGAACCUUACCUGGUCUUGACAUCCACAGAACUUUCCAGAGAUGGAUUGGUGCCUUCGGGAACUGUGAGACAGGUGCUGCAUGGCUGUCGUCAGCUCGUGUUGUGAAAUGUUGGGUUAAGUCCCGCAACGAGCGCAACCCUUAUCCUUUGUUGCCAGCGGUCCGGCCGGGAACUCAAAGGAGACUGCCAGUGAUAAACUGGAGGAAGGUGGGGAUGACGUCAAGUCAUCAUAGCCCUUACGACCAGGGCUACACACGUGCUACAAUGGCGCAUACAAAGAGAAGCGACCUCGCGAGAGCAAGCGGACCUCAUAAAGUGCGUCGUAGUCCGGAUUGGAGUCUGCAACUCGACUCCAUGAAGUCGGAAUCGCUAGUAAUCGUGGAUCAGAAUGCCACGGUGAAUACGUUCCCGGGCCUUGCACACACCGCCCGUCA
RNAcentral lists this ribosomal RNA (1401 nucleotides) under uncultured bacterium. Its description in RNAcentral is "bacterial SSU rRNA". It matches the Rfam family "Bacterial small subunit ribosomal RNA". The record is from RNAcentral.